Non-coding RNA from Dehalogenimonas formicexedens, 137 nucleotides. The record is from Rfam. NCBI's taxonomy places the organism in Bacteria, Bacillati, Chloroflexota, Dehalococcoidia, Dehalococcoidales, Dehalococcoidaceae.
AGAAUCUUUCUAUACCAGAGUAGCCUGUUGAUCAGGUGAACGGGUGCAAGUCCGGUGAAAGUCCGGCACAGUACCGCCUGCUGUAAUCCCAAUCUUCUUGGGAGAGUCAGAACCCCGGCUCAGGUCGAGUGUUUCUC